Molecule: small nuclear RNA, 193 nt
Organism: Cricetulus griseus (Chinese hamster)
Lineage: Eukaryota; Metazoa; Chordata; Mammalia; Rodentia; Cricetidae
Gene: U2
Rfam family: U2 spliceosomal RNA
About the family: U2 is a small nuclear RNA (snRNA) component of the spliceosome (involved in pre-mRNA splicing). Complementary binding between U2 snRNA (in an area lying towards the 5' end but 3' to hairpin I) and the branchpoint sequence (BPS) of the intron results the bulging out of an unpaired adenosine, on the BPS, which initiates a nucleophilic attack at the intronic 5' splice site, thus starting the first of two transesterification reactions that mediate splicing.
Source: Ensembl
AUUGCUUCUUGGCCUUUUGGCUAAGAUCAAGUGUAGUAUCUAUUCUUAUCAGUUCAAUAUCUAUCCCUUAAGGUAAAACGGUCUGUCUUACUUCUGGAUUCCAUUCAACAACACUUUACACUUAAAUUCCAUGCACAGCCUAGUAGUAGACUAUGAGAGCCAAUGGAUUGAUGGCUUUGACAAACUAGCCAGU